GACGAACGCUGGCGGCGUGCUUAACACAUGCAAGUCGAGCGGUAAGGCCCUUUCGGGGGUACACGAGCGGCGAACGGGUGAGUAACACGUGGGUGACCUGCCCUCAGCUCUGGGAUAAGCCUGGGAAACUGGGUCUAAUACUGGAUAUGACUCCACGGUGCAUGUCGUGGGGUGGAAAGCCUUGUGCGGCUGAGGAUGGGCCCGCGGCCUAUCAGCUUGUUGGUGGGGGAUGGCCUACCAAGGCGACGACGGGUAGCCGGCCUGAGAGGGCGACGGCCACACUGGGACUGAGACACGGCCCAGACUCCUACGGGAGGCAGCAGUGGGGAAUCUUGCGCAAUGGGCGAAAGCCUGACGCAGCGACGCCGCGUGAGGGAUGACGGCCU
RNAcentral lists this ribosomal RNA (386 nucleotides) under uncultured bacterium. RNAcentral describes it as "bacterial SSU rRNA". It matches the Rfam family "Bacterial small subunit ribosomal RNA", at positions 28 to 417 of the family's 1533-position model. The record is from RNAcentral.